CAGCAGCCGCGGGAAUACGAAGGGUGCAAGCGUUAAUCGGAAUUACUGGGCGUAAAGCGUGCGUAGGCGGUGAGUUAAGUCUGCUGUGAAAUCCCCGGGCUUAACCUGGGAACUGCGCUUGUGACUGCACAGCUAGAGUAUGGCAGAGGGGGGUGGAAUUCCACGUGUAGCAGUGAAAUGCGUAGAGAUGUGGAGGAACACCGAUGGCGAAGGCAGCCCCCUGGGCCAAUACUGACGCUCAUGCACGAAAGCGUGGGGAGCAAACAGGAUUAGAUACCCGUGUAGUCCCUGUCUCUUAUAA
RNAcentral lists this ribosomal RNA (301 nucleotides) under uncultured bacterium. Its description in RNAcentral is "partial 16S ribosomal RNA". It matches the Rfam family "Bacterial small subunit ribosomal RNA", at positions 509 to 809 of the family's 1533-position model. The record is from RNAcentral.